AGUAGGUGUUGAAAUUUUAUGUUGGUGUUCCUCCUUCCUUCAUGACACCAACAACAUCUCGGAAAUUUCCUUUGUCACCAACUGUAAGAGCUCUAUUUGCUUUGAUAGUCUUGACAACCCAUAACCUAAUUUUGAAUUUCAUUGAUGUGCCGGUUAGGGUUUGUCACUUUUCACAUCAGGGUGUUGGUGAACCAAUUCUCCUUCCUUAUGUGCCUCCUAGUACCAAAAAUUUUAUC
This 236-nucleotide long non-coding RNA is filed under the name Vigna radiata. RNAcentral's name for it is "long non-coding RNA (VRAD_LNC015676)". Lineage: Eukaryota; Viridiplantae; Streptophyta; Magnoliopsida; Fabales; Fabaceae. The record is from RNAcentral.